This 290-nucleotide long non-coding RNA is filed under the name Medicago truncatula (barrel medic). Its description in RNAcentral is "long non-coding RNA (MTRU_LNC008740)". The record is from RNAcentral. Lineage: Eukaryota; Viridiplantae; Streptophyta; Magnoliopsida; Fabales; Fabaceae.
UGCUGAUGAUUGCGGGUUUUGAAGCAUCCUUGCUAAGAAAGACAUACUUUAAGUGAGAAGGAAGUUCUUUUAAUUCUGGAAUUUUUUCUUCCUCAUCAUUCAACGAUUUCGCCCCCAAUUUCCCUUCAUCACGUAUUUCUUCGAUUUUUGGGGGUUUAAUCAGUUGCUCGUUUGCUUCUAGUUGCUUGACACAUUCUUUCACCUCAAGAUCUUCGACAUGUUCACAACUCUCUAUAGAAUUAACAAUUGUCUCUUCCAUAGGUUGUGUUGGUUUGGGUUCACGGGAUUUG